Ictalurus punctatus (channel catfish) is the source of this 2193-nucleotide long non-coding RNA. NCBI's taxonomy places the organism in Eukaryota, Metazoa, Chordata, Actinopteri, Siluriformes, Ictaluridae. The record is from Ensembl.
GUUUGAUCACAGAGCGCGCAGUAGCCAUUAGAAAUCAUGCAAAAACCUGAAGCUGUGGAGUAGAGAGGGGUGGGGCCUGCUGGGUUUAUAGGCUGAGAGCCCUUUCUGAAAAUAACACUCUUUUGGAUUAUAACGCAUUUCUUUGGAUGAAUAUACAGUGCCAAAGAACAAAAUGAAGCUGGGUCUCUUUACUGUGUUGUUGUUUGCCAUGCAGUGGAGAGGUAGCAUGAUAACAGGUGAGUUUUAGUGCGUUUGUCUCUUCAGCUCAGUAGUUCAGUAGUUAAUACUGUGGUCUGAAUUCUCAGUGUGAUUUGCUUUGUAUGAUACAGAGAGUGUGUGGUGGUACUGUGAAUUUAUUAGAGAAAAAGAGAAAGAGUGUAAAUGUGUGUGUUUUGAAUGGUAAUACAGUAUGUUUUCAUGGACAAAUACGAAUGUUCAUGAUUUACUUUUCUUCAGCAGGACAUGAAAACCCCAUAUCAUGUUGUAGAGAAACCAGCAAAUACAGGGUCAGAGUUGAAAAGAUUGUGAGCUAUGUGUAUCAAGCUGAACCACUAUGCCCUAUCAAAGCUAUAAGGCAAGUUUAAUUUGGUACAUAGCAAAACAAUAUGCUCUAAUCCAGCAGAUCCUUGGGCCAAACAUGCCAUAAAGGAACUGGAUAGAAGAACAACCACAAAAGCGCUCGAUACCCCACCAUCAACGGCGGUACUUGGAUUCCCCAUAUCAUGUUGUACAGAAACCAAGCGAACCAAUGUCAGAGUUGAAAAAAUUGUGAACUAUGUGCAUCAAGAUUAUCCACAAUGCCCUAUCAAAGCUGUAAGGUUUAAUCUGGUAAACAGCAUAACAGUAUGCUCUAAUCCAGAGGAUCCUUGGGCCAAACAUGCCAUAAAGGUAGUGGAUAGUCGACCACAAACACAAAAAUGCCCAAUACCCCAUCGACUUCUAUAAGCUGUACAACAACUACUACAAGCACAUCUACACCAGGAAUAAGUCCAACAAAUACAAUAACCACGACAACACCUAAAGGAACAUCAACUACAUGGAAAACAACAACAUACAUCACUCAUACAUCUUCGACCAAACAACCACUUGGACAACAACUGCCUCAAUGGACAACAACGCAAAUUAUGACAGCAAAGAUGACUACUACUACGGCUAGGAAGCCAGUGAUAACUGAUAACAAGACGACUUCCACGACUAUAAACAGCUAUACAAACUAUACAGAAACAACUAUAACACCACCAACCACAAGUACAACAUCCAUCAAACAUAUAUUACUGAUACCAGAGCAAUCUAGGACAACUACCAAGUUACCACUAUGGCCAAUAAUGCCAAGCAACACUGAGAGAUCAUUAAAUGACAGAAAGAGCACCUCAAGAACACCCAAUAAUACACCAACACAAAUGUCUACAAGUUUGACCACUGAAAAAUGGAGAGAAUCCACUAUAUCACCUACACCUAUACCAGAGACAUAUAAAUAUACAAAAAGCACAGUGACCAUGACUGACAGCACACAAUCUACAACAUACAUCAAUCAUACAUCACUGAUGACGGAAUCUUCUCGGAAAAUCAAAACGCAAAACACCAAAAAACCAGAAUCUAAUGAAAAUAGAAAGCAAAAGACGAUCGUGAUAUCCCAAAUACCAGAGAAGGAAAGGGAAGCACUGGACUGGACAGAACAUUUUUGUCAGUGGUCAGAGAUACAAGAAACACGGUAUUGUUCCUUUUACUAUGAUUAGCCUGAAUUUAUUUAUGAUUUUCUAGUCACACGGUUUUGGAGAUUUACUGAAAAGUAUGCACAUUUGUAAAUUAGUCUUUUAAUGCUUAAUAUAAAUGUAACAUUAUGCUUAUUUAUGCCACGAUCAAGCCAAUAAACCUGUAUGACUAAAAUGAGGGGACUAUUAAAAAAAUUUUUUUUAGAAUAAUUAGAAAUGUUAGCUUGUGUGUGCAUGUUUGAUAUUAAAUUCACCUCAUUUUACUGCAUGUUUUUAAUUUUAAUUUAACUAAACGUUUAAACAUUUAAUCAAUUUUAAUUGAAUCUGUAAAUGUUUCAAAUCACAAAAUAAUGCAAAUAAUAAAAGAAAGUCUUACAUAUGAAUUUAGUCAGUUUAGUAAAUCAUUCACAUUUAUACUGCUGUCUUUAAUACUGUAGUACAAAAGAAGUGGUCAAUUAAAAUUUAAAAAAUAAUAAUAGAA